Xenia sp. Carnegie-2017 is the source of this 383-nucleotide long non-coding RNA. RefSeq lists it as uncharacterized. The record is from RefSeq and is a predicted model, not a curated record. NCBI's taxonomy places the organism in Eukaryota, Metazoa, Cnidaria, Anthozoa, Malacalcyonacea, Xeniidae. The transcript has 2 exons.
GGAGAGAACUCGAUGAACGUUAUAGUGUUGGGUUUACGUGCGAGUAUCAGCCAAGUUGUGGAAGAAGAGAGAGAAGCUUUUAAAAGCAUUCCUUCCUCAGCAGCACGUAAGAUGACACUGACUAUAAUGCAUGCCGUGAAUUAUUGGAUCUAUCUGAAUGUAGUGCGGACGACGAAAAAUGCUGCUAAAUUAUUUUAUGUUUCUUUUCUUCGGGAACGGUGAUAAUAUUGUAGUUGUAUUAUUUAAUGUAAGAAGUAGCUGAGCAAAUGUCUUACGGCUUUUUUGUUGUUUCAUGGAUGGAAAAUGGGCAUUACCAAGGGUUUUACAUUCUUUCUCUCCAAGAUCAAUCGAUUUUUUAUCUUUAGUAAAUUUUCCAAAUCAUG